AGGCGCUACGGUAAAACAUGGCGGAUACGAUGCGUAUCGAGUGUACGUAAUCCGGGCCCAGAUUUAAAUAUCCGACUUUGUCAGUCAGCUGUUUCUACUAGGCCAACAAUGGAUGGGUGAUACCUAUACCAUGAAAAAAUUCUUUUUGUGUUUGUGUAACGUGUAAUGUGGCCGUUUUUCUGUUUUUGCUGUUUGGGGUUGUACGGAGGAUAUCCAACCAAAAGUUAUUUUCACAAGAUGCAAAUGUUAACACCUCAAUUUUGUAGCGGUACUUUUUUAACAAUUGACCAUUAGCUCCGAUGAUGACAUUUAUGUCGAAAGCGCUCAGCUAAAGAAAUAAAUUAUUUACACACUUUGA
Molecule: long non-coding RNA, 358 nt
Organism: Diabrotica virgifera virgifera (western corn rootworm)
Lineage: Eukaryota; Metazoa; Arthropoda; Insecta; Coleoptera; Chrysomelidae
Exons: 2
Source: RefSeq, a predicted model, not a curated record